RNAcentral lists this ribosomal RNA (253 nucleotides) under uncultured bacterium. RNAcentral's name for it is "partial 16S ribosomal RNA". It matches the Rfam family "Bacterial small subunit ribosomal RNA", at positions 524 to 776 of the family's 1533-position model. The record is from RNAcentral.
UACGUAGGGUGCAAGCGUUGUCCGGAAUUAUUGGGCGUAAAGAGCUCGUAGGCGGUCUGUCACGUCGGCUGUGAAAACCCGAGGCUCAACCUCGGGCCUGCAGUCGAUACGGGCAAACUAGAGUGUUGCAGGGGAGACUGGAAUUCCUGGUGUAGCGGUGAAAUGCGCAGAUAUCAGGAGGAACACCGGUGGCGAAGGCGGGUCUCUGGGCAACAACUGACGCUGAGGAGCGAAAGCGUGGGGAGCGAACAGG